Molecule: ribosomal RNA, 484 nt
Filed under: uncultured bacterium
Lineage: Bacteria
Description: partial 16S ribosomal RNA
Rfam family: Bacterial small subunit ribosomal RNA
Source: RNAcentral
AUUGAACGCUGGCGGCAGGCCUAACACAUGCAAGUCGAGCGGAUGAAGGGAGCUUGCUCCUGGAUUCAGCGGCGGACGGGUGAGUAAUGCCUAGGAAUCUGCCUGGUAGUGGGGGAUAACGUCCGGAAACGGGCGCUAAUACCGCAUACGUCCUGAGGGAGAAAGUGGGGGAUCUUCGGACCUCACGCUAUCAGAUGAGCCUAGGUCGGAUUAGCUAGUUGGUGGGGUAAAGGCCUACCAAGGCGACGAUCCGUAACUGGUCUGAGAGGAUGAUCAGUCACAUUGGAACUGAGACACGGUCCAGACUCCUACGGGAGGCAGCAGUGGGGAAUAUUGGACAAUGGGCGAAAGCCUGAUCCAGCCAGGCCGCGUGUGCGAAGAAGGUCUUCGGAUUGUAAAGCACUUUAAGUUGGGAGGAAGGGCAGUAAGUUAAUACCUUGCUGUUUUGACGUUACCAACAGAAUAAGCACCGGCUAACUUCGUG